Molecule: non-coding RNA, 74 nt
Organism: Salmo salar (Atlantic salmon)
Lineage: Eukaryota; Metazoa; Chordata; Actinopteri; Salmoniformes; Salmonidae
Source: Rfam
UGACCCCUGGAGUCAGGUGUGGGUGUAGCCUGUGCACCAAUCACUAGGCGACCCACUCAUGAUUUCAGAGGUCA